AUGGUCAGAUUUGGGAUGGAGCUCGAUGGUGGGUGGUCGAGGCUGAUGGUGGUGGCGGCUGAUGGUGGUGGGGGGUGGGUGGUGGCGGCUGAUGAUGGUGGGGGUAAUUGUGCGACAUAACAAGAACGUUGGGGGGGGGGGGUAAUAUUAAAGGGCAAUAUAGUCAUUUCACAUUAAAGUUAACAGAUCUGUUAACAAAUUUGAGGCCGGGGGGUAAGGUUGCGACAUAACAGUGAACAGUGGGGGGUAAAAUUGCAAUUAUUUCCUUAGGGGGUAGACAUGCCAAUGACCCCUAACCUCAGGGGGUAAAAUUGCAGUUUACUCUAACUUUAAUUUAGAUAAAAAAUUUCACUUUUGCCCUUAGACUUUUCAUUUUAGUAGUUUAGAGUUUUGGGUUUUAGAAGAAAACCAAAGAACAUACGUGAAGCUUAUUGGAUAAGAAACGAUGUCAUAUUCAGGAGGAGGAAGCAACAGAAAGAUUAUACAUAAAAAAAGUUGGUUCCUUUUUCUAAUAUCAAUGUGUUAUUUUAAAAAGCAAAUUGCAUUUUUCGUCCUUCAUGUUUCUCUUUGAACUUCUAAAAUUACACCGGCUCUUUUUUACGUUUGCACAUGAUAACAAAUGGUGUCCUUAUAGCUUAACCCAGUUAACUUUUUUUUGCUCAUGUGAGGGCAUAAUAGUCUUAACCCAGUUAACUUUCUCUCUCUACAAACACACCCUGUUUUUUCAAUCUUGAUUUAAUCAAGAUCAAAGCUUUUUGAUCGUUCACAUCUUUUUCAGCAAACACAGCCAUCAAAUUCACAUAUAAAAACUAGGCCUCACAUCCCAAUACAAUCCGAUCAACUAUCAACAAUUCGAUUUCAAAAAUUCAUAUUUUCAUUUACUCGGUUAAAGGUUUUUAUCAAGGGCAAAAUAAGAAGACUCUCUGGAAAAACUGGACCGAGACGUACAAAGUGUCAGGAUGUGGCGGUGGACGACGGAGGUUUUUAAGGUGGAUUUGGUUACGAUUAUUAGGUGGUUCAUGAUAUUUGUUGUGAAAGAUGAAGAAGCAUAGGCUGCUGAUUUUGAGGUGAAUGUUGUAAAAGUGCAAAGGAGAUUCGGAAUGCAUUAAAGACAAGGCAUAUCAGUGUAGAUCAAGUAGAGAAGGCACGUCUUCAAACACCUAGAACUGAGUUCGAGAUACUGAAAUGAAGGCGGGAGACACUAUUGAUUAAUUCACCACAAAGCUAAAUAGCAUUGUCACUAGGGCAAGACGUCUUGGAUCAACCAACUUUAGUACAAAAACUUCUAAGUUGUGCACCUAUAAGGUUCGUUCAAAUUGUUGAAACCAUUGAACAAUUCGCUCAUCUAGACACAACAACUCUAGAUGAGACAAUUGGAAGAUUGAAAUCCUUUGAAAAAGAACCAAUCUAAUGGAUGAAGAUCCAAUGGACAACCAAGACAAACGGUUGUACACACGACAUGACAAGAACUAUGGUUGUGUAAGGCGUUUUGGUUGUACACACGACAUGACAAGAACUAUGGUUGUGUAAGGCGUUUUGGUUGUACACACGACAUGACAAGAACUAUGGUUGUACACACGACAUGACAAGAACUAUGGGUCAAAGUUAAUAGGUGGUUUAUGUAAAUAGGUUAAAGUAGUUUUAGUGUUUAUUAUGUAGCCUUUAGAAGUCAAGGGUUCUAGUGUGUUAGAAAUCAAACUUAAUAACUUCCAUAUGAAGGGCUGCCACGUUUAGGAAAGUCACGAUGCUUUGGAAUUGGCAUAUAGUCAUGUCGUUUAGAUUGUAAGGUUAAAUAACCCAUACACUAAUCAUUGUAAUAUAAUCAUAUGGUCAAUUGUCAAAGUGGAUUGUUCAAACAAAAUUACCCUUCUGUUAAAAAUAAUUACAUUUUUAUUACUUUAUUACCUUGUAUACCUUUUAUUACUGUCUAACUAUUUUAUGUACCGUUC
Molecule: long non-coding RNA, 1949 nt
Filed under: Helianthus annuus (common sunflower)
Lineage: Eukaryota; Viridiplantae; Streptophyta; Magnoliopsida; Asterales; Asteraceae
Description: hypothetical non coding rna
Source: RNAcentral